AAAACAACUACGGAGGGGGUUAGCGUUGUUCGGAAUUACUGGGCGUAAAGCGCACGUAGGCGGAUUGGAAAGUAUGGGGUGAAAUCCCAGGGCUCAACCCUGGAACGGCCUCAUAAACUCCCAGUCUGGAGUUCGAGAGAGGUGAGUGGAAUUCCGAGUGUAGAGGUGAAAUUCGUAGAUAUUCGGAGGAACACCAGUGGCGAAGGCGACCACCUGGCCAAAUACUGACGCUGAGGUGCGAAAGCGUGGGGAGCAAACAGG
RNAcentral lists this ribosomal RNA (261 nucleotides) under uncultured Paracoccaceae bacterium. Its description in RNAcentral is "uncultured Rhodobacteraceae bacterium partial 16S ribosomal RNA". It matches the Rfam family "Bacterial small subunit ribosomal RNA", at positions 516 to 776 of the family's 1533-position model. Lineage: Bacteria; Pseudomonadati; Pseudomonadota; Alphaproteobacteria; Rhodobacterales; Paracoccaceae. The record is from RNAcentral.